RNAcentral lists this ribosomal RNA (491 nucleotides) under uncultured bacterium. RNAcentral's name for it is "partial 16S ribosomal RNA". It matches the Rfam family "Bacterial small subunit ribosomal RNA", at positions 28 to 507 of the family's 1533-position model. The record is from RNAcentral.
GAUGAACGCUAGCUACAGGCUUAACACAUGCAAGUCGAGGGGAAACGAUGAGAGAGCUUGCUCUCUUAGUCGUCGACCGGCGCACGGGUGAGUAACGCGUAUCCAACCUGCCUCUGACCAAGGGAUAACCCGUCGAAAGUCGGACUAAUACCUUAUGCACCCGCCGGAAGUCAUCUGAUGACGACGAAAGAUUUCAUCGGUGAGAGAUGGGGAUGCGUCUGAUUAGCUUGUUGGCGGGGUACCGGCCCACCAAGGCGACGAUCAGUAGGGGUUCUGAGAGGAAGGUACCCCACAUUGGAGCUGAGACACGGUCCAAACUGCUACGGAGGGCAGCAGUGAGGUAUAUUGGUCGAUGGGCGUUAGCCUGAACCAGCCAAGUAGCGUGCAGGAUGACGGCCCUAUGGGUUGUAAUCUGCUUUUAUGCGGGGAUAGAGUGAGGGACGUGUCCUUCAUUGCCGGUACCGAAUGAAUAAGGACCGGCUAAUUCCGUG